RNAcentral lists this ribosomal RNA (1526 nucleotides) under Escherichia coli. Its description in RNAcentral is "bacterial SSU rRNA". It matches the Rfam family "Bacterial small subunit ribosomal RNA". Lineage: Bacteria; Pseudomonadati; Pseudomonadota; Gammaproteobacteria; Enterobacterales; Enterobacteriaceae. The record is from RNAcentral.
AGAGUUUGAUCAUGGCUCAGAUUGAACGCUGGCGGCAGGCCUAACACAUGCAAGUCGAACGUAACAGGAAGAAGCUUGCUUCUUUGCUGACGAGUGGCGGACGGGUGAGUAAUGUCUGGGAAACUGCCUGAUGGAGGGGGAUAACUACUGGAAACGGUAGCUAAUACCGCAUAACGUCGCAAGACCAAAGAGGGGGACCUUCGGGCCUCUUGCCAUCGGAUGUGCCCAGAUGGGAUUAGCUAGUAGGUGGGGUAACGGCUCACCUAGGCGACGAUCCCUAGCUGGUCUGAGAGGAUGACCAGCCACACUGGAACUGAGACACGGUCCAGACUCCUACGGGAGGCAGCAGUGGGGAAUAUUGCACAAUGGGCGCAAGCCUGAUGCAGCCAUGCCGCGUGUAUGAAGAAGGCCUUCGGGUUGUAAAGUACUUUCAGCGGGAGGAAGGGAGUAAAGUUAAUACCUUUGCUCAUUGACGUUACCCGCAGAAGAAGCACCGGCUAACUCCGUGCCAGCAGCCCGCGGUAAUACGGAGGGUGCAAGCGUUAAUCGGAAUUACUGGGCGUAAAGCGCACGCAGGCGGUUUGUUAAGUCAGAUGUGAAAUCCCCGGGCUCAACCUGGGAACUGCAUCUGAUACUGGCAAGCUUGAGUCUCGUAGAGGGGGUAGAAUUCCAGGUGUAGCGGUGAAAUGCGUAGAGAUCUGGAGGAAUACCGGUGGCGAAGGCGGCCCCCUGGACGAAGACUGACGCUCAGGUGCGAAAGCGUGGGGAGCAAACAGGAUUAGAUACCCUGGUAGUCCACGCCGUAAACGAUGUCGACUUGGAGGUUGUGCCCUUGAGGCGUGGCUUCCGGAGCUAACGCGUUAAGUCGACCGCCUGGGGAGUACGGCCGCAGGUUAAAACUCAAAUGAAUUGACGGGGGCCCGCACAAGCGGUGGAGCAUGUGGUUUAAUUCGAUGCACGCGAAGAACCUUACCUGGUCUUGACAUCCACGGAAGUUUUCAGAGAUGAGAAUGUGCCUUCGGGAACCGUGAGACAGGUGCUGCAUGGCUGUCGUCAGCUCGUGUUGUGAAAUGUUGGGUUAAGUCCCGCAACGAGCGCAACCCUUAUCCUUUGUUGCCAGCGGUCCGGCCGGGAACUCAAAGGAGACUGCCAGUGAUAAACUGGAGGAAGGUGGGGAUGACGUCAAGUCAUCAUGGCCCUUACGACCAGGGCUACACACGUGCUACAAUGGCGCAUACAAAGAGAAGCGACCUCGCGAGAGCAAGCGGACCUCAUAAAGUGCGUCGUAGUCCGGAUUGGAGUCUGCAACUCGACUCCAUGAAGUCGGAAUCGCUAGUAAUCGUGGAUCAGAAUGCCACGGUGAAUACGUUCCCGGGCCUUGUACACACCGCCCGUCACACCAUGGGAGUGGGUUGCAAAAGAAGUAGGUAGCUUAACCUUCGGGAGGGCGCUUACCACUUUGUGAUUCAUGACUGGGGUGAAGUCGUAACAAGGUAACCGUAGGGGAACCUGCGGUUGGAUCACCU